GGAUCCAAGCCAUGUCUGCAACCUACACUACUACACCACAACUCAUGGCAAUGUUGGAUCCUUAACCCCCUGAGCAAGACCAGGGAUCGAACCCACAUCCUCAUGGAUACUAGUUGGGUUUGUAACCUGCUGAGCCACAAUGGGAACUCCCUCCCUUAUUAUUCUUUAAGUAAAAUACACUUCUUGUCUUGUCUGUCUGGCCUGCUGUAACACAAUACCACCGAAGAUAUCUUAUAAGAAAUAGAGCUUAGGUGUUCUUGUGAUGGCUCAGUGGGUUAAGAAUCUGACACAGUAUCCAUGAAGAUGUGGGUUCAAUCCCUGGCCUUGUUUAGUGAUGGAGCAUUGCUGUAGUAGGUCACAUAUGCAGCUUGAGUCUUAUAUUGCUGUGGUGUGGUGUAGGUCAGCAGUUGCAGGUCUGAUUCAGCCCCUAUCCCAGGAACUUCUAUAUGCUGCAGGUGUGGCCCUAAAAAGAAAAAAAAAAAAAAAGGACUUAUUUUUCACACUUCCAGAGGCUUGAUGUCGAAUUUCAGGAUGCUAGCAUGUUCAAGGGCGAGGGCCCCCUUCCAUGUUUCAGUCUCCUCAUUUUAUCUUCACAUUGAGGGAGGGCCUAGGGGUCCCUCUGGAUCCUAUUUUAUGAGGGUGCUAAUCCUAUUCACGAGGGCUAAUUACCUCUCAAAGACCCCACUUCCGAAUACCAUCACAUUGGACACUAGGAUUUACCCAAUGAAUUUGAGGAGGGGGUGGGGGACACAAACGUUAAACUAUAGCACUUCCUUAAACUUAGAGCCUUUAUAGUAGCUGUUCUCUGCUUGGAAUAUUUUUCCCCUACAUCUUUUUAGGUCUAAGUUCUUUCUUAUCAUUCCUGAAAUUUAAUGUCCCUUUUUCAAAGGAGUCUUCCCAGGCCAAAUCAAUGUAAUGUUUCUCAUCAGUCAUUCCCUGACUCAUGGCUCUUAUAUUUUCACUUCAGUACUUAUCUCUGCCUGAUCUUUUCUGGUUUACUCAUUAUCUGCAUAAACCCUAAAAAGCUAGCUCUAUGAAGUGAGAGUUUGUUACUCUCUGACUCGCUACAGAAUCCUAGGUGGCUAGAAUCAUCCCUGGUAUUUAGUAAGCAUUCAGUUAACGUUGAAUGAGAUGCAUAUCAGAAAGGUUAUCAAUGCUGGAGGGGAUUAAGGUGAUGAUUUUGGAUAUCUAGAAAUUUAAGGAAAAGGCCUGGCCCUUAGUCACUGAGGGCCUAGGUUAUUGGAUGUUAUAAUAACAAAGUCUUAGCAUCAUCGAAGGGGACAAGAACCUCAUAAGAGGUUGAAAGUAAAUAUGGAGGCAGGUUUUGGGGCCAAAUUCGUAGAUGUCCCAAAGCAAUUAGAGUAUAGAAUAUAAGUUAUUGGAACAUAAGAUCAGAACUAAAGCUGAAACAAUGGUUUCCUGAGGCCAAGUAUGAGAACUAGGCUGAAAAAAAUGGCCAGGAUUUGUUCUGCCUCUCAGUGGAAGUCCAUUGUUCACCAUUAAAUGAACAACAAAUGAAGCCUAACAACACUGGAGCUGAGUCAGGUAUGGGCCAGAUGAGGUAAAACCUACAACUUCCAACUGCUUUGGCAAAGAUAAGACUUGGCUUUCUGAUACACUCUUACAAUAAUUUUCUAGUGAAUCAGCUCUAGGAAACUAGGUCCUUUCCAACAAGGCCAGCUUCAAAUUAGGUUUAAAUUUCCUUGAAUAUAGGUUUAAAUUUGAAUGCACUAUUUAAAAUGAUCUGUUAUGACAUCAAUGGUGUUACAGUGCUGUAAUGAAGAAGAAACCUUAGCCAAUGGGGGCCUGUGAAUUACCCACAUCAUCUAGCCAUAAGGACUAGGCAGGGAGGAUGUCCAUGAUGAAGCCAUUUUUGUCUUCUGUACCUUUUCCACCUUACCAGCAAUUAAAACACUUCAUGAGGGCAUCCUAGUCCAAUUUAGAAUUUAAGGAAUGCAUAUCAUCUAGGCAUAAUGAAUGUCAUAUGAAAAAAAUAAAAACUAAACCAGGAAGACUAUCUGUUAGACAAACAGGGAGUCUUGGAAGUCACUCUGUUAGAACUAUUGUCUUCAUGAAUUUUCCACAGGCUGUAGAAUGCUCAAGAACAGUGUCCUUGCAGGGGUGGGGUAGGGUGUCUUUGUAACUUUCUCGUAACAUUAGCUUCAUAUCAGCAGCCAAAGAUCUGUGAAAAUCUUCUUUUAAGGCUUACAGUUAUUGUUCUCAAAGAUAGGGUCUGUUAGGCAUCUUCUCCCGGGGUGUAGCUUGUGUCAUAGAAGUUAUUUCAGCAUUUUUCAUCCUCUCUGACUUUCCUACAAAUUCCCCAUUGUUCUUGUUAGUUGCAUAUUUUGAAAAUGAAAACCAGUCGGGUUUAGGAAUAGACCUUCUGUAUGUUUGUGUCUAUGGGUGUAAAUGUGAAAUAAAUGUAUAGAAUGCAUGGUGGCUGAUAUUUUGUGUCAUUUAUCUUCACUUGUGAGGGGAAAUAAGUCGUUCAUAACUGUGCCAGUCCUGGUCCAUUCUUCAUCAUUACACUCAUGAAGAUAAAUGCCACAUUUACACAGACCACAGCUAUCCCGUGUCCUUUCCCACUGGAAAUCUAGAUUAGUUAGAGCAGGAGGUCAACCAGCUACUGUCAUUAGAAAAUCAAAGACACUUGGUAUGUACUAUCUCCU
This 2669-nucleotide long non-coding RNA is filed under the name Sus scrofa (pig). RNAcentral's name for it is "lncRNA (ENSSSCG00050048903.1)". Lineage: Eukaryota; Metazoa; Chordata; Mammalia; Artiodactyla; Suidae. The record is from RNAcentral.